CUUGCUUGAUAAGUUUUUUGUGAAAUUCUGUCUCUUAAGGGCAGAGCGCGCAGGAACUACUGUCAAGCUAGAGACUGGAAGACGUAAAGAGUACGAUCAAAGUAGUGGUAAAAUACUUUAAUCUUGGUCGGACUAACAAUAAGCGAAGGCACUUUACGAGGACAGUUCUGACAGUAAGGGAUGAAGGCUAGGGGCGCAAAAAGGAUUAGAUACCCUUGUAGUCCUAGCAGUAAACACUGCACACUAAACAUUAGUACCUCCUCGAGAGGUAUUGGUGCUGAAGCGAAGGCGAAGAGUGUGCUACCUGGGAAGUAUAGUCGCAAGGCCGAAACUUAAAGGAAUUGGCGGGGGAGCAC
Molecule: ribosomal RNA, 356 nt
Filed under: uncultured euryarchaeote
Lineage: Archaea; Methanobacteriati; Methanobacteriota
Description: bacterial SSU rRNA
Rfam family: Archaeal small subunit ribosomal RNA
Source: RNAcentral